RNAcentral lists this ribosomal RNA (503 nucleotides) under uncultured bacterium. RNAcentral describes it as "partial 16S ribosomal RNA". It matches the Rfam family "Bacterial small subunit ribosomal RNA", at positions 30 to 523 of the family's 1533-position model. The record is from RNAcentral.
AUUGAACGCUGGCGGCAGGCUUAACACAUGCAAGUCGAGCGGGGUGAUGGUGCUUGCACUAUCACUUAGCGGCGGACGGGUGAGUAAUGCUUAGGAAUCUGCCUAUUAGUGGGGGACAACAUCUCGAAAGGGAUGCUAAUACCGCAUACGUCCUACGGGAGAAAGCAGGGGAUCACUUGUGACCUUGCGCUAAUAGAUGAGCCUAAGUCGGAUUAGCUAGUUGGUGGGAUAAAGGCCUACCAAGGCGACGAUCUGUAGCGGGUCUGAGAGGAUGAUCCGCCACACUGGGACUGAGACACGGCCCAGACUCCUACGGGAGGCAGCAGUGGGGAAUAUUGGACAAUGGGGGGAACCCUGAUCCAGCCAUGCCGCGUGUGUGAAGAAGGCCUUAUGGUUGUAAAGCACUUUAAGCGAGGAGGAGGCUCUUUUGGUUAAUACCCAAGAUGAGUGGAUGUUACUCGCAGAAUAAGCACCGUCUAACUCUGUGCCAGCCGCCGCGGUAA